UAACAAAAAUGUAAUUGAACUAGUAUAACAAACAUGUAAUCAAACAAGUGUAGCAAAAAAGUAAUCGAACAAGUAUAACAAAAAUGUAAUCCAACAAGUAUAACAAGAAUGUAAUCGAACAAGUAUAACAAAAAUGUAUUUCCUAUAAGAACAACCCAACAUAUUUAUUUUAACUAAAACGGAAUAUUCCCUCUCAUACAGCAUGGCCAGACACCACUGGAAGUAGCCGUAAAAUCUAGAAAUAUUGAGAUGGUCAAGCUAAUCUGUUUGUUUGGUGCUGAACCGUCAUUACAGGACUGGUCUUGGACAAUGAAAGAACUAGACCAAAAAGAAAAUCAGAUAUUAGAAUUGCUUGUUAGCCAACAUAGUCGAAUGCCAGGUUAUAAAUAUGGUUCAAUUCUACAGACAGUUUUGUAUGUUUCACCUAAAGAUGGAAACAAACUUGAGAAUAUUGGAGUGGAAGUACUGAAAUGCGAUACGUCUUCGCCGUUUUACUUUUAUUGCAGUAAAAUGCAGACAGAAUAUUCUGACAUUCGGAGUAAAUUAACAGACGAACAAGA
Molecule: long non-coding RNA, 560 nt
Organism: Mytilus californianus (California mussel)
Lineage: Eukaryota; Metazoa; Mollusca; Bivalvia; Mytilida; Mytilidae
Exons: 3
Source: RefSeq, a predicted model, not a curated record